Molecule: ribosomal RNA, 253 nt
Filed under: uncultured bacterium
Lineage: Bacteria
Description: partial 16S ribosomal RNA
Rfam family: Bacterial small subunit ribosomal RNA
Source: RNAcentral
UACGAAGGGGACUAGCGUUGUUCGGAAUCACUGGGCGUAAAGCGCACGUAGGCGGAUAUGUCAGUCAGGGGUGAAAUCCCGGGGCUCAACCUCGGAACUGCCUUUGAUACAGCAUGUCUUGAGUCCGAUAGAGGUGGGUGGAAUUCCUAGUGUAGAGGUGAAAUUCGUAGAUAUUAGGAAGAACACCGGUGGCGAAGGCGGCUCACUGGCCCGAUACUGACGCUGAGGCACGAAAGCGUGGGGAGCAAACAGG